This 253-nucleotide ribosomal RNA is filed under the name uncultured bacterium. RNAcentral describes it as "partial 16S ribosomal RNA". It matches the Rfam family "Bacterial small subunit ribosomal RNA", at positions 524 to 776 of the family's 1533-position model. The record is from RNAcentral.
UACGGAGGGUGCGAGCGUUGUUCGGAAUUAUUGGGCGUAAAGCGCGUGUAGGCGGUUUUUUAAGUCUGAUGUGAAAGCCCCGGGCUCAACCUGGGAAGUGCAUUGGAAACUGGAAGACUUGAAUACGGGAGAGGGCAGUGGAAUUCCUGGUGUAGGAGUGAAAUCCGUAGAUAUCAGGAGGAACACCGGUGGCGAAGGCGGCUGCCUGGACCGAUAUUGACGCUGAGACGCGAAAGCGUGGGGAGCAAACAGG